CCAGUAUACAUAAAGAGUCAUAUGCUGCCUUUGCUAUUAAUGAAGAGACACCUGCGUAACAUUGAACAAUAUAUGGUACUGUUUCACUGGGAGCAGCUAGCACAGACACUUGUGUGAGAGUAUCUUUUAACAUAUUUCAACUCUUUUCAACUUCCCCUGUCCAAAUGAUCUUAUCUUUUAUACUUUUAUCUUUUAUACUUUAACAUAUUGCAUAAGGGUUUUGC
Non-coding RNA from Pelobates cultripes (western spadefoot toad), 224 nucleotides. The record is from the annotation of a GenBank genome assembly. NCBI's taxonomy places the organism in Eukaryota, Metazoa, Chordata, Amphibia, Anura, Pelobatidae.